This 1318-nucleotide ribosomal RNA is filed under the name metagenome. Its description in RNAcentral is "bacterial LSU rRNA". It matches the Rfam family "Bacterial large subunit ribosomal RNA", at positions 1564 to 2891 of the family's 2925-position model. The record is from RNAcentral.
UGAGUACGAGCUGCUACGGCAGCGAAGUGGGUGAUGUCAAGCUUCCAAGAAAAGCCCUAUACCCGCUAAGGCAUGACGGCCUGUACCCGAAACCGACACAGGUGGGGUGGUAGAGAAUACCGAGGGGCGCGAGAUAACUCUCUCUAAGGAACUCGGCAAAAUGGCCCCGUAACUUCGGGAGAAGGGGUGCCACCGCAAGGUGGUCGCAGUGAAGAGGCCCAGGCGACUGUUUACCAAAAACACAGGUCUCCGCUAAGUCGUAAGACGAUGUAUGGGGGCUGACGCCUGCCAGUGCCGGAAGGUUAAGGAAGCUGGUCAGCGCAAGCGAAGCUGGCGACUGAAGCCCCGGUGAACGGCGGCCGUAACUAUAACGGUCCUAAGGUAGCGAAAUUCCUUGUCGGGUAAGUUCCGACCCGCACGAAAGGCGUAACGAUCUGGGCGCUGUCUCGGAGAGAGGCUCGGCGAAAUAGAAUUGUCUGUGAAGAUGCGGACUACGUGCACCCGGACAGAAAGACCCUAUGAAGCUUUACUGUAGCUUGGUAUUGUGCCCGGGCUCUGAAUGCGCAGGAUAGGUGGGAGGCUUUGAUCCAUUGCUUGUGGGUGAUGGUGAGCCACUGGUGAGAUACCACUCUUUCAGAGCUAGGGUUCUAACGGUCACCCGUUAUCCGGGGACUGGACAGUAUCAGGUGGGCAGUUUGACUGGGGCGGUCGCCUCCUAAAAGGUAACGGAGGCGCGCAAAGGUUCCCUCAGGCUGGUUGGAAAUCAGCCGACGAGUGUAAAGGCAGAAGGGAGCUUGACUGUGAGACCUACAAGUCGAACAGGGACGAAAGUCGGCCUUAGUGAUCCGACGGUUCUGAGUGGAAGGGCCGUCGCUCAACGGAUAAAAGUUACUCUAAGGAUAACAGGCUGAUCUCCCCCAAGAGUUCACAUCGACGGGGAGGUUUGGCACCUCGAUGUCGGCUCAUCGCAACCUGGGGCUGAAGUCGGUCCCAAGGGUUGGGCUGUUCGCCCAUUAAAGCGGUACGCGAGCUGGGUUCAGGACGUCGUGAGACAGUUCGGUCCAUAUCCGGUGCACGCGCAGGAACAUUGAGAGGAUUUCUCCCUAGUACGAGAGGACCGGGAGGAACGCACCUCUGGUGUACCAGUUAUCGUGCCAACGGUAAACGCUGGGUAGCCAUGUGCGGAGCGGAUAACCGCUGAAAGCAUCUAAGUGGGAAGCCCACCUCAAGAUGAGUGUUCCCAUGGCAAAAGCCAGUAAGGUCACGGGCAGAACACCCGUUGAUAGGCUCUACGUGGAAGCGUGGCAACACGUGAAGC